GAUGUAUAUUCGAAAUCUUGUGAUGUAUGUUCGAUAAUCUUGUGAUGUAUAUUCGAAAUCUUGUGAUGUAUGUUCGAUAAUCUUGUGAUGUAUAUUCGAAAUCUUGUGAUGUGUGUUCUACAAUUCAGUGAUGCGUGCAAUAAAAUUGCAUGACGCAACAGAAAAGUAAGGACAAUUUUCAUUGGUUAGAAAUAACGAAAGUAGCCGGAGCGGUCGUAAUGCACACAUUGACACAACUUCGCAAGCAUGAAAUUGGCGAAUUCAACCUAAAGUCAAAAUUAUAGGAACUUUACGUAGGUCUACAGUUUUAAUUUUGGACUCAUGCACUAGGAAUAUCAUAUCAGCAGAAUUGUGCCACUGAAUCAAAGGGAACUCUUUUUUUUUUAGGUACGCAUGAUCGAUGUAACUUCCUCGAUGGUGUGUUGGCUGUUUGCCCAUGUGUAUUUCGGGGUAUAGGUAUUAGCCUCCCCUUUUAAAGAUCCAAAAUGGUGAUUUUACAGUGCGGCAUGCAGUCUGGUCAUCAACGAAGAGUUUUGACACCUGUAAUACCCAUAUUUCUACCAUUCACCUCUGUAACCUUUGUUGAGUUCAUCAGACUGUCCAAGACAGGAAGUUGAGGAAUAAAGUUGACAGGACAUCCUGAACUGUCCUCGCUACCAGCUUAUGAGGGAACCAGCUGCAGUGGACAAAGUACGUUACAUCAUAGGAUAAUAGCAUUGAAUUGGAUUCUUGAACCAGAGCCAUGUGAACCUGGUCCACCUGUACCUCUCAUUGAAGACCUGUUAACAUCACCAGAGUAUGUUCAUUCUGAUACCCCUAUGGUAUGGUUACAGCAUGCAUUAUCCCUGAAUCCAUUAAAAGAGCUGCAUUGGCAACGAAACAACCCAAUGUGGUCGAUUGUAAGGAAAUAAAGCAUAUCAGCUUCCAACUUUGGUGCAGUUCUCAGUUCUAAGCAAAGGCGAUUGACAUUGUCACUGAAGAAACAGCUGAUGUCGGCUUACAAUCUGGAGUCCAUCAAGGCUGUUGCAUGGGGUAUCACUCAUGAAGAUGAUGCUUUGAGAAAGUAUGAAAAGGACUUUGAUGCAGCUGUAGAGCAGUCAGGAUAUGGUUGCAUGAAUCCGGAGUGUUGGGAGCUUCACCUGAUGGCUUAGUUGUUCGACCACCAACAUGCAGUGUAUUUUAUCAAACUCCAGAAGCCAAAGACGCCAUUCCUGAUAUUGUAGAGGUGAAGUGUCCAUAUACAGCAUCGUCUUCAACAUAGCAGAUG
Long non-coding RNA from Saccostrea cuccullata (small rock oyster), 1267 nucleotides. RefSeq lists it as uncharacterized. Lineage: Eukaryota; Metazoa; Mollusca; Bivalvia; Ostreida; Ostreidae. The transcript is spliced from 7 exons. The record is from RefSeq and is a predicted model, not a curated record.